ACACGUCUACAUUAGAUACCCGUGUAGUCCCAGCCGUAAACUAUGCGCGUUAGGUGUAUCGGUGACCACGAGUCACCGAGGUGCCGAAGGGAAACCGUGAAACGUGCCGCCUGGGAAGUACGGUCGCAAGGCUGAAACUUAAAGGAAUUGGCGGGGAGCACCACAACGGGUGGAGCCUGCGGUUUAAUUGGACUCAACGCCGGGAAGCUCACCGGAUAAGACAGCGGAAUGAUUGCCGGGCUGAAGACUCUGCAUGACUAGCUG
RNAcentral lists this ribosomal RNA (264 nucleotides) under uncultured archaeon. Its description in RNAcentral is "partial 16S ribosomal RNA". It matches the Rfam family "Archaeal small subunit ribosomal RNA", at positions 722 to 982 of the family's 1478-position model. The record is from RNAcentral.